GAUUAAGUUAUUAAGGGCGCACGGUGGAUGCCUUGGCACUAGAAGCCGAUGAAGGACGUUACUAACGACGAUAUGCUUUGGGGAGCUGUAAGUAAGCUUUGAUCCAGAGAUUUCCGAAUGGGGAAACCCAGCAUGAGUUAUGUCAUGUUAUCGAUAUGUGAAUACAUAGCAUAUCAGAAGGCACACCCGGAGAACUGAAACAUCUUAGUACCCGGAGGAAGAGAAAGAAAAUUCGAUUCCCUUAGUAGCGGCGAGCGAAACGGGAAGAGCCCAAACCAACAAGCUUGCUUGUUGGGGUUGUAGGACACUCUAUACGGAGUUACAAAGGACGACAUUAGACGAAUCAUCUGGAAAGAUGAAUCAAAGAAGGUAAUAAUCCUGUAGUCGAAAAUGUUGUCUCUCUUGAGUGGAUCCUGAGUACGACGGAGCACGUGAAAUUCCGUCGGAAUCUGGGAGGACCAUCUCCUAAGGCUAAAUACUCUCUAGUGACCGAUAGUGAACCAGUACCGUGAGGGAAAGGUGAAAAGCACCCCGGAAGGGGAGUGAAAUAGAACCUGAAACCGUGUGCUUACAAGUAGUCAGAGCCCGUUAAUGGGUGAUGGCGUGCCUUUUGUAGAAUGAACCGGCGAGUUACGAUUUGAUGCAAGGUUAAGCAGUAAAUGUGGAGCCGUAGCGAAAGCGAGUCUGAAUAGGGCGUUUAGUAUUUGGUCGUAGACCCGAAACCAGGUGAUCUACCCUUGGUCAGGUUGAAGUUCAGGUAACACUGAAUGGAGGACCGAACCGACUUACGUUGAAAAGUGAGCGGAUGAACUGAGGGUAGCGGAGAAAUUCCAAUCGAACCUGGAGAUAGCUGGUUCUCUCCGAAAUAGCUUUAGGGCUAGCCUCAAGUGAUGAUUAUUGGAGGUAGAGCACUGUUUGGACGAGGGGCCCCUCUCGGGUUACCGAAUUCAGACAAACUCCGAAUGCCAAUUAAUUUAACUUGGGAGUCAGAACAUGGGUGAUAAGGUCCGUGUUCGAAAGGGAAACAGCCCAGACCACCAGCUAAGGUCCCAAAAUAUAUGUUAAGUGGAAAAGGAUGUGGCGUUGCCCAGACAACUAGGAUGUUGGCUUAGAAGCAGCCAUCAUUUAAAGAGUGCGUAAUAGCUCACUAGUCGAGUGACACUGCGCCGAAAAUGUACCGGGGCUAAACAUAUUACCGAAGCUGUGGAUUGUCCUUUGGACAAUGGUAGGAGAGCGUUCUAAGGGCGUUGAAGCAUGAUCGUAAGGNNNNNNNNNNNNNNNNNNNNNNNNNNNNNNNNNNNNNNNNNNNNNNNNNNNNNNNNNNNNNNNNNNNNNNNNNNNNNNNNNNNNNNNNNNNNNNNNNNGACAUGUGGAGCGCUUAGAAGUGAGAAUGCCGGUGUGAGUAGCGAAAGACGGGUGAGAAUCCCGUCCACCGAUUGACUAAGGUUUCCAGAGGAAGGCUCGUCCGCUCUGGGUUAGUCGGGUCCUAAGCUGAGGCCGACAGGCGUAGGCGAUGGAUAACAGGUUGAUAUUCCUGUACCACCUAUAAUCGUUUUAAUCGAUGGGGGGACGCAGUAGGAUAGGCGAAGCGUGCGAUUGGAUUGCACGUCUAAGCAGUAAGGCUGAGUAUUAGGCAAAUCCGGUACUCGUUAAGGCUGAGCUGUGAUGGGGAGAAGACAUUGUGUCUUCGAGUCGUUGAUUUCACACUGCCGAGAAAAGCCUCUAGAUAGAAAAUAGGUGCCCGUACCGCAAACCGACACAGGUAGUCAAGAUGAGAAUUCUAAGGUGAGCGAGCGAACUCUCGUUAAGGAACUCGGCAAAAUGACCCCGUAACUUCGGGAGAAGGGGUGCUCUUUAGGGUUAACGCCCAGAAGAGCCGCAGUGAAUAGGCCCAAGCGACUGUUUAUCAAAAACACAGGUCUCUGCUAAACCGUAAGGUGAUGUAUAGGGGCUGACGCCUGCCCGGUGCUGGAAGGUUAAGAGGAGUGGUUAGCUUCUGCGAAGCUACGAAUCGAAGCCCCAGUAAACGGCGGCCGUAACUAUAACGGUCCUAAGGUAGCGAAAUUCCUUGUCGGGUAAGUUCCGACCCGCACGAAAGGCGUAACGAUUUGGGCACUGUCUCAACGAGAGACUCGGUGAAAUCAUAGUACCUGUGAAGAUGCAGGUUACCCGCGACAGGACGGAAAGACCCCGUGGAGCUUUACUGUAGCCUGAUAUUGAAAUUCGGCACAGCUUGUACAGGAUAGGUAGGAGCCUUUGAAACGUGAGCGCUAGCUUACGUGGAGGCGCUGGUGGGAUACUACCCUAGCUGUGUUGGCUUUCUAACCCGCACCACUUAUCGUGGUGGGAGACAGUGUCAGGCGGGCAGUUUGACUGGGGCGGUCGCCUCCUAAAAGGUAACGGAGGCGCUCAAAGGUUCCCUCAGAAUGGUUGGAAAUCAUUCAUAGAGUGUAAAGGCAUAAGGGAGCUUGACUGCGAGACCUACAAGUCGAGCAGGGUCGAAAGACGGACUUAGUGAUCCGGUGGUUCCGCAUGGAAGGGCCAUCGCUCAACGGAUAAAAGCUACCCCGGGGAUAACAGGCUUAUCUCCCCCAAGAGUUCACAUCGACGGGGAGGUUUGGCACCUCGAUGUCGGCUCAUCGCAUCCUGGGGCUGUAGUCGGUCCCAAGGGUUGGGCUGUUCGCCCAUUAAAGCGGUACGCGAGCUGGGUUCAGAACGUCGUGAGACAGUUCGGUCCCUAUCCGUCGUGGGCGUAGGAAAUUUGAGAGGAGCUGUCCUUAGUACGAGAGGACCGGGAUGGACAUACCUCUGGUGUACCAGUUGUCGUGCCAACGGCAUAGCUGGGUAGCUAUGUGUGGACGGGAUAAGUGCUGAAAGCAUCUAAGCAUGAAGCCCCCCUCAAGAUGAGAUUUCCCAACUUCGGUUAUAAGAUCCCUCAAAGAUGAUGAGGUUAAUAGGUUCGAGGUGGAAGCAUGGUGACAUGUGGAGCUGACGAAUACUAAUCGAUCGAAGACUUAAUCAA
This 3022-nucleotide ribosomal RNA is filed under the name Staphylococcus aureus. Its description in RNAcentral is "23S ribosomal RNA". It matches the Rfam family "Bacterial large subunit ribosomal RNA". The record is from RNAcentral. Lineage: Bacteria; Bacillati; Bacillota; Bacilli; Caryophanales; Staphylococcaceae.